Molecule: ribosomal RNA, 497 nt
Filed under: uncultured bacterium
Lineage: Bacteria
Description: partial 16S ribosomal RNA
Rfam family: Bacterial small subunit ribosomal RNA
Source: RNAcentral
GAUGAACGCUGGCGGCGUGCCUAAUACAUGCAAGUCGAGCGAACAGACGAGGCGCUUGCUCCUCUGACGUUAGCGGCGGACGGGUGAGUAACACGUGGAUAACCUACCUAUAAGACUGGGAUAACUUCGGGAAACCGGAGCUAAUACCGGAUAAUAUAUUGAACCGCAUGGUUCAAUAGUGAAAGACGGUUUUGCUGUCGCUUAUAGAUGGAUCCGCGCCGCAUUAGCUAGUUGGUAAGGUAAAGGCUUACCAAGGCAACGAUGCGUAGCCGACCUGAGAGGGUGAUCGGCCACACUGGAACUGAGACACGGUCCAGACUCCUACGGGAGGCAGCAGUAGGGAAUCUUCCGCAAUGGGCGAAAGCUUGACGGAGCAACGCCGCGUGAGUGAUGAAGGUCUUCGGAUCGUAAAACUCUGUUAUUAGGGAAGAACAAAUGUGUAAGUAACUAUGCACGUCUUGACGGUACCUAAUCAGAAAGCCACGGCUAACUACGUG